GGGGCCAUAGUUCAAUGGGAGAAUAGUAGACUGGCAGUCUAUUGAUACGGGUUCGACUCCCGUUGGCUCCACCA
RNAcentral lists this transfer RNA (74 nucleotides) under Anaeromicrobium sediminis. RNAcentral describes it as "tRNA-Ala". It matches the Rfam family "tRNA". From Rfam's summary of the family: Transfer RNA (tRNA) molecules are approximately 80 nucleotides in length. Their secondary structure includes four short double-helical elements and three loops (D, anti-codon, and T loops). Further hydrogen bonds mediate the characteristic L-shaped molecular structure. tRNAs have two regions of fundamental functional importance: the anti-codon, which is responsible for specific mRNA codon recognition, and the 3' end, to which the tRNAs corresponding amino acid is attached (by aminoacyl-tRNA synthetases). tRNAs cope with the degeneracy of the genetic code in two manners: having more than one tRNA (with a specific anti-codon) for a particular amino acid; and 'wobble' base-pairing, i.e. permitting non-standard base-pairing at the 3rd anti-codon position. The record is from RNAcentral. RNAcentral also lists the same sequence under 1 other name. Lineage: Bacteria; Bacillati; Bacillota; Clostridia; Peptostreptococcales; Thermotaleaceae.